AGAAGUGGAUGGAGAGGCUGGGCAGAAGGCGGUGUUUCCUGAAGGAAGCAGUGGUUCCAUGCCAGCAUCUGCUGUAGGACUGGAGGCGAUGCCAGGCACAGUCACAGGAGCUGAACCUGCUGGUGAAGGUGGAGCAGCUUCCCAAACCACGUCCAGGACUGAGCCUCUGGGAGAUGCUGAGGUGAUGGACCAAACAUCUGUGCAGAAGGAAGCACAUCCUGGAGGAAGCAUUUCCCCAUGGACAGCCCCUGCUGCAGGAAGGAAGGCGAUGCCAGACACGGGCACAGGCA
Molecule: long non-coding RNA, 290 nt
Organism: Passer domesticus (house sparrow)
Lineage: Eukaryota; Metazoa; Chordata; Aves; Passeriformes; Passeridae
Exons: 3
Source: RefSeq, a predicted model, not a curated record